CUGCCUGUGACUGCAUAAAGGCUGGAGUCAGGCUCUGAGUCUCACCACCCUCUCCCCUGUGCAGAUCCUUGUGCUUUGCCCCAGGGAGAGAGCCCUUCAGCUCAUUAUCAUUUUCUAAGCAACCAGUCUUGCAAGUGCAGCUUGGAGCAGAGCAUCUGCUGGAUUAUGUCUGCAGCCCUGAAUCUUUGGAAACUGCUGAAGCAGGCAAAGUCCCCUUGAAUGCAUCCCCAGAGAAGAUGGCUGAGGUAUUGAGGCGCCUCAGGUGCACAGCCAAGUGCCAGACCCCCCAGAGUGCACAAUGAAGAGCCACAGAGACAGAGAGAGGAAAAAAUACAUGCACCAGAACACAGCAUCCAGCUCCCAUACCAGAAAUGGAGAGAAAGUCCAAGGCCCUGGCUUGUCACCUGUUUAAUAGGCACAGCAAAAGGAAAUUUAUAAACCCAGUUCACUUGUUAUGAAUAAAAACUCUCUCAAGAA
This is a long non-coding RNA of Cyanistes caeruleus (blue tit), 477 nucleotides long. RefSeq lists it as uncharacterized. NCBI's taxonomy places the organism in Eukaryota, Metazoa, Chordata, Aves, Passeriformes, Paridae. The record is from RefSeq and is a predicted model, not a curated record.